UUCCUACGGGGGGCAGCAGUGAGGAAUAUUGGUCAAUGGGCGGGAGCCUGAACCAGCCAAGUCGCGUGAGGGAAGACGGUCCUAUGGAUUGUAAACCUCUUUAGGCGGGGAGCAAUGCCGGGCACGCGUGCCCGGAGGGAGAGUACCCGCAGAAUAAGCAUCGGCUAACUCCGUGCCAGCAGCCGCGGUAAUACGGAGGAUGCGAGCGUUAUCCGGAUUUAUUGGGUUUAAAGGGUGCGCAGGCGGGAGAUCAAGUCAGCGGGAAAAUGUCGGGGCUCAACCCCGGCCGGCCGUUGAAACUGGUU
This 305-nucleotide ribosomal RNA is filed under the name uncultured bacterium. RNAcentral describes it as "bacterial SSU rRNA". It matches the Rfam family "Bacterial small subunit ribosomal RNA", at positions 336 to 638 of the family's 1533-position model. The record is from RNAcentral.